This 1304-nucleotide long non-coding RNA is filed under the name Sarcophilus harrisii (Tasmanian devil). RNAcentral describes it as "lncRNA (ENSSHAG00000027498.1)". The record is from RNAcentral. Lineage: Eukaryota; Metazoa; Chordata; Mammalia; Dasyuromorphia; Dasyuridae.
AUGCAGACCACUCUGUGGAAUCAUUGCCAGAAACGUGGGGUUUGGAUAAAGUUUGGUCCUGGGCUUCAUUCCUCUCCUGGUCUAGUAGGAGAUAAGUCAUAUGCAAUUUGCUGUACUGCACAAUGUUACACAGUAAGCAAAUUAGGUAGGUCUGAAACUAGAUGCCUUGUGACGUCUGAGAGACGGGGCCAGCGGGGAGGAAUUGAGGGAGCUGGACUGAAUUUUUUUUUUUUUUUUUUUUUUUUUUUUUUUGUUGGUUUUCUGUUUUUAAAAUCUUUUGGAUUUUGAAUUUCUCUAACACGUCACAGCUAUGUCGAUACAUAAACAGCUUUGGAUCAUUAGAGAAGGUGUAGACAUUCAACUUCAAUAUAGAAUUCUGUAGAGGAUUAAUUAAUAUAAAAUUCAGGAUCACAUUGAAACAGAAUGUCAGAAAAGAAAACUUUGGUGGAUAUGACAGAGGAGUCUGUGAAGAUGGGAGACUCUGAAACCUACCAGGAAGGCCCCAGGAGCUGAGGGAGAACCCAGGGUGACGACCACCAAUCACUGCCAGCACCGUGCCUGUCACAGAGGGGCUUGGAGCUAGACUUUCUGUCAGGAGCAGGGUGUGCUCUGGAAAUCAGCUCUACUCUGUACCACCACAAAAGGUCAUUCCUACCUCCAGGAUCAUCUGAAAAAGGUGAAGGGGGAGCAGCAGUUGGUGCUGGGAGAAAGAAGGGAAGAGGCAGCAUGGUCUGGACACUGGAAAGAUAAUGUCUGGGAAAGGGCAGCAGCUGUUCUGUAAGAUUUUGAAAAGACUGAGGGGGUGAAGAAGAAAUGUGGAAAAUCCAUUUAAAACCAUUUUCCCAUUUGCUUGGUCUGAUACUUGGCUGAACUUUAAUGGCCAAAAUAGGCCAAAGUUCUGAGGCCUCUCCAGAAUGGGAGCACUUCAGAUCUGCCAUAUACAGCAUACCAGUCAUCCAGUGCAGUGAGGGAGGAUCACUUAUUUAUUAAGCUCUACUUCUUAGCUGGAAAACAGCUGCUUUUAGGGUCCCCCCUAGGCAAAUAAAAUCUAAUCCUUUAAUGUUUUUUUCCACAGAUCUCAUCUAUUUCAUUUUUAUAUAAAAUUUUAAUUUUUUGGCAAAAGGUUGAUUUAUUUAGGGCUAUAGAUUACAGACAAAAUGAAGGGGGUAAAAUAAACACUGCAAGUGGCAAAUAUUUACAAAUUAUUUUUUCCCCCUGAGGCAGUUGGGGUUAAGUGACUUGCCCAGAUCACACAGCUAGGAUUUCCUGACUUCAGGGCUGGGGCUCUAUCCACCACACCAACU